This is a small nucleolar RNA of Dasypus novemcinctus (nine-banded armadillo), 131 nucleotides long. Lineage: Eukaryota; Metazoa; Chordata; Mammalia; Cingulata; Dasypodidae. The record is from Ensembl.
CAGCAUGUUCCCAAGAUCUCUGGUUGCUUGUGGCCAAGGGAUCUCCAACUGCAUGCGAGAGCAACCUGGAGAGACUUUGACAGCCCAGGUCAGCAGAGUACCUGCAGCUGCCACUCGAUUUUCCUAUAAUG